RNAcentral lists this transfer RNA (76 nucleotides) under Clostridiales bacterium. RNAcentral's name for it is "tRNA-Lys". It matches the Rfam family "tRNA". From Rfam's summary of the family: Transfer RNA (tRNA) molecules are approximately 80 nucleotides in length. Their secondary structure includes four short double-helical elements and three loops (D, anti-codon, and T loops). Lineage: Bacteria; Bacillati; Bacillota; Clostridia; Eubacteriales. The record is from RNAcentral.
GGAUGAUUAGCUCAGUUGGUAGAGCAACUGACUCUUAAUCAGUGGGCCUAGGGUUCGAGUCCCUAAUCGUCCACCA